This is a long non-coding RNA of Zonotrichia leucophrys gambelii, 944 nucleotides long. RefSeq lists it as uncharacterized. Lineage: Eukaryota; Metazoa; Chordata; Aves; Passeriformes; Passerellidae. The transcript has 3 exons. The record is from RefSeq and is a predicted model, not a curated record.
CUGCCACUCCUUUCAGUCCCUUCUCUGCUCUAAAAUGAUUUUGUCUUACGUGACAUGCUUUAACUCCAGAGAAAGUUAGUAAUUUUCAUUUCUCUUAUGUCUCUGCCUUUCUUGCAGGCCCCCUUUAGGUACUGGAAGGCUGCCUUGAAGCCUUUUCUUCUCCAGACCCAACCACCCCAACUGUCUCGGCCUGGAGAGAGAUAUAAUAGGAGAGAUAUUCCACCUCUCUAAUAAUUUCAAGAUAGAAUUAGACCAUGUUUAGUCUUUAAUACAGAUAAUUAAGGGUCCUGGAGAACAGUUAAUUUGGGGAAAUUGUUGUGAAUAAAGGAGCACCAGAAUUUGGCAAAGCAGCUAGUAGUAAUUCUGGUGAACCUUAGGUGGGAAUUGCAGAUGCUCUUUAUAGCAGCAUGUAACUGCAGGAAAAGAUCCUGGCCUUCCUGUCCCAGUCUUCGCUGGUUACAGUGGUGCUGUGUCCUGAUCAUGUGCAAUUAUCACGUGCCCCAAAGGAUUUUGGAGGAAAACAAAUCAUGCCAUAUUCAACAACUUGAAGAGAAGCAAGGCUGCUGCUGAUCCCUGUCCCUGAGUUCCACCAGGAGCAAGGCUGAGGAUUCAUUUACAGCAAGCACACAAAGCACGUGUGUGCACUACAUGUGCCUGGACAUAAAUAUAUAGCUGCUCACACAGAUUCUAGAGGGACACUCAGAGAACUCAUGUGAACACAAACAUCAUGCACACAACCACACACCCAUCCAGACAGAAGGAGCAAGCCACAUCUUUUAUAUCAUUCUAAGUGCAACUAUGACUUUUGGAAAAAAAUACUAUAACGUCUUAAUUUUUAUGGAUGUAACAUGUAACCCCAAUUUCAAGAAUUUCUGGAAUAAAUUCAGUGAAUUUGGUGCAAAUUUUGUUCAGAAUCACCAACAAUACAGAAAAUAAUCUUCAAG